UGGGUUGUAGCUUGGUGGUAGAGUGCUUGCCUUGCACGCAUGAGGCACUGGAUUCGAUCCUCAGCACCACAU
This 72-nucleotide transfer RNA is filed under the name Ictidomys tridecemlineatus (thirteen-lined ground squirrel). Its description in RNAcentral is "Spermophilus tridecemlineatus (thirteen-lined ground squirrel) tRNA". It matches the Rfam family "tRNA". Rfam says of the family: Transfer RNA (tRNA) molecules are approximately 80 nucleotides in length. Their secondary structure includes four short double-helical elements and three loops (D, anti-codon, and T loops). Lineage: Eukaryota; Metazoa; Chordata; Mammalia; Rodentia; Sciuridae. The record is from Rfam by way of RNAcentral.